GCUGAAGAACGUAGCGAAAUGCGAUAAGUAAUGUGAAUUGCAGAACUCAGUGAAUCAUCGAAUCUUUGAACGCACAUUGCGCCCGCCAGUAUUCUGGCGGGCAUGCCUGUUCGAGCGUCAUUUCAACCAUCAAGCCCCCGGCUUGUGUUGGGGACCUGCGGCUGCCGCAGGCCCUGAAAACCAGUGGCGGGCUCGCUAGUCACUCCGAGCGUAGUAAUACAUCUCGCUCAGGGCGUGCUGCGGGUUCCGGCCGUUAAAAAGCCUUAUUUACCCAAGGUUGACCUCGGAUCAGGUAGGAAGACCCGCUGAACUUAAGCAUAUCAAUAAGCGGAGGA
Molecule: unclassified non-coding RNA, 335 nt
Filed under: soil metagenome
Description: partial contains 5.8S ribosomal RNA, internal transcribed spacer 2, and large subunit ribosomal RNA
Rfam family: 5.8S ribosomal RNA (bases 3-120)
Source: RNAcentral